ACUUCCUGAGGCCGGAACGAAAAGUUUUAUCGGAAUGCGUGUUCUGGUGGGCUUUUGGCUUACGGUUGUGAUGUUGUGUUGUUGUGUUUGCAAUUGGUCUGCGAUUCAGACCAUGGUAGCAAAGCUACCCUUUUUCACUUCCUGUACA
This 148-nucleotide small RNA is filed under the name Citrobacter youngae ATCC 29220. Its description in RNAcentral is "GcvB RNA". It matches the Rfam family "GcvB RNA", at positions 1 to 142 of the family's 204-position model. Rfam says of the family: The gcvB gene encodes a small untranslated RNA involved in expression of the dipeptide and oligopeptide transport systems in Escherichia coli. Included several unknown homologues in alignment (Bateman A pers obs). Lineage: Bacteria; Pseudomonadati; Pseudomonadota; Gammaproteobacteria; Enterobacterales; Enterobacteriaceae. The record is from RNAcentral.